UCCAAAAGAAGACGCUGGGUGUCCGAGA
This 28-nucleotide small RNA is filed under the name Bombyx mori (domestic silkworm). RNAcentral's name for it is "ovarian small RNA-26438". Lineage: Eukaryota; Metazoa; Arthropoda; Insecta; Lepidoptera; Bombycidae. The record is from RNAcentral.